Oxyura jamaicensis (ruddy duck) is the source of this 2769-nucleotide long non-coding RNA. RefSeq lists it as uncharacterized. NCBI's taxonomy places the organism in Eukaryota, Metazoa, Chordata, Aves, Anseriformes, Anatidae. The record is from RefSeq and is a predicted model, not a curated record. The transcript has 2 exons.
AGGAGGAGGCCUGUGAGGAACACAUAAAUCAUUAGCCCCUCCAACAAGUGCAAAAUACUCAGUUUCCUUGGUGUUGAGUUGGGCUGGGAUGUACUUUGAAGCUCUCAAGGACAGGGAAAUGCUACUCCCUUGGGUUGUUGCAAAACAGCUUUUAAUGGUUGACAGGUAUUUAUAAGAAAGUAAAUAAGGAACUGUCUGGCUUUUCAGGGGAAUAUGUAGUGUGCCUUUGUGAAACCACCAAAUAACAAUUAUGCCCAUGGUUUUUCAAAGAAAACCUUCACUAAGCACUGAAGAGAGGGACAUGGUUUUGUGGGCCUGCAGGAUACAGCUUUCCUUGCAGGAGCACAGGCAAUGAGGCUGUGUUGCCCGUUAUCUGCAGAUGUCAUGAAUUGCAUGGCCCCAGGAUGGCCUAAAGAAAGAACAUGUCCCAGUUGCAGCAGAAGUUUUGGAAUUUAGUGUAGUGAUAAGUUUUCUUGUUAAUCCAGCAGCAAAAUCCUCUCCCUCCUGUGCUCUGUGACAAAGGCAGAGAAUAAAUAUUAUGGGCUGGAAGCUCAUAGGAGGCCUGGUUUUGCAGGCCCUGGUUUCAGGCCCCUAACAAGGGAUUGCUUCAAGCUGUAAAAAGUCCAAACACUCCUUGUUUAACCUCUUCCCUCUGUCAGUCUUCUGAUGCCUUCAGCUGCUGUGGAGCAAUGGAGCCAGGUGGAGAGAAAGCAAGGUUGUAGGCCUAGAGACUCCCUCCUCCCUCUUACAGGGCUUGGAGAGCAGACUAAAUGUCAGAGAAAAGCAGGAGUGUCUCUUCCUUGGGCUGUUUUUCACCCUUUUGGUAUGUACUUACCCCAAAGUUUGAUGAUUGUUAAUGUAAGUGUUCCUAUGCUGGGGGUUUUACUUUCAUAAUAGGAGGUUAAAGUUUCAGCUUCUGAUGGAUGUAGCUUUUCGUAACUAUCAAUAAAAGCAAUGACUGAAGGUGGAGUCCUUGAACUCUAAAUUGGCUAAGAUCCAACUAUUGCAUCUGCUUGCAUUGGUGUGCUACAGCUUAUAAUUAGUCUAAUCUCUGAUUACAGACAGAGAUUAGACAAGUGGUGCUGAGUCUACUGAGUCAUGUGAUAAUGGCCAUAGGGAAGAGUAUCAGUGUUUUGUUGCUAGGAUGGUGCCCCUCUUCUGGAGGAGGAAGCGUUGUCUCUUUCCUGAUGCUGACAACUUCUCAUGGCAGGACAGCCAGUCUUCCUCACUGGAGAAAUAUGUCUGUCACUGUAAAACCAGUGUGUCUCCUACUUCAUGUAACAAACAGUAUAUAAAAGACCACUCAUUUGGAUGCCAGACAAAUAUGCCAACACCUUGCAGCUGGGUUGUGAUGAGAAGGAUUGUGCUUGUUAUUUUUUUCAGACAAUGCUUGGACAGUUCUGGGUACACAAAAUGUAUGGAGUCCAUAAGACUUCUGCUCUCCUCCCUUGCUUGUGAGGAGGCUGGAUUUUGUGUUGUGAAAGAUGUGUUUUUACACUGUAAACUAGCUGUGGUGCUGCUACAUCACCAAGGCUUAGGAAAACAAGUUUAUUUUGCUCUUCUUGAUGGUGCUUAAUUGAGAGGGGCUCAUGGACCUUGUUUUUCAUUCCAAGAAAACCUGUUUCUAUUCUUAUAGUGGAAGGAACUACAUAAUGUACCUAAUGCUGAGCUAGCUGUUGUAUUGCCGGAUACUGCUUCUCAGGAAAGUCACACUAAAACUAUUAUAAGACUUGUGGCGAAGCCAGGACUUCUGCUAGAGCAGGACAGUGGACCUCCUCCACUUGUAUAACCAGUGCUUGACAGGCAACUUGUUUUCUGUGGUAUGAGUCUGGGCUGAAAUAAAUGGAAACAGUAAACUAAAAUAGACAACUCUUGGGAUGAUGUGGUGACAGUUAUGUGAAUUAGCACCUGUUGCAGUACCAAGUAAGUUUGUGGUACCUUCAUCUCUCUAGCAUUUUGCCUGGUCACACUCUUAUCCCUCUUCCUCAGUGACGGUUAUCUUGGAGGACACUGCCUCAGAGAAGAGGAGCUGCUGGCUGGUCAUGAUGCAUCGCCUGGGAUAUUUUAUUCUCUGCAGCUGAGGUUGUGGUAUAUGCUGGCUGGUUUACUAAAUGGGCUGUUCUCAGACUUUGCUAAACUUAUUAAUCACUCAUGCCUCUGUGUGAGUCACACAGCACCAGUUCUUGCGCUUCCAAAGAAGAUAAGGUUGAAGGAAGUAAAGCCCAGAGGCUGGUGUGGGAUAUGCUGAGGUGGCAGCUCCACUUCCUUGAGUGACUUGUGUCAGGUCAGAGGCUUGAUAACAGCCAAGGACAAAGAUGAGCUGUCAUCUAGUGUGCAUAUGGAAGCACUCCCACUACAGACACUAUUUGGCAUACAAGACCAGAGCUAAGCACUUCAUGUGAAAGGUAACUGCAUUGGAAGUACACUGAGAUCAUUUUGUUCAUGGUUAUUUCCUUGAUAAAACAAUCUGCAAUCUGUGACAACUCGUCCCCUUAGCAACUUUCCUUUUUUUCCCACAGCUCCUAUUGUAUGAAUAUUCUUAUUCUAUGUCCUGAUAAAAAUGUGUUAUUUUGAAACCUGCUGCUGGAAACAAAACCACAGCUAUGUCCUGCUUGUGCUUUCUAAUGACGUGGUUUGAAACCUUGUAUGUGGACACACUCGGACCUUAACUGGUACUCAGACUGUGGUCUUCCAUGAAAACACAUAGCUGUCACUUGAAGGGAGAUUAGUGAUUCAAUAAGAUGUCUUUUUAUUGUUGUUGUCACCUCA